UACUGCAUUUUUUCUUACACAUGUGUUUUUCUUUUUUUGAAAACUUUGCUUUGGUAGGGGUCGGUAUGGGGCCUGCCAGAGAUUAAACUCAACCAAAUUUUAUUUAAUGUCAACCGAUUAUUUAAUAGUCAAAACUUUCAACAACGGAUCUCUUGGUUCUCGCAUCGAUGAAGAACGCAGCGAAAUGCGAUAAGUAAUAUGAAUUGCAGAUAUUCGUGAAUCAUCGAAUCUUUGAACGCACAUUGCGCCCUUUGGUAUUCCAAAGGGCAUGCCUGUUUGAGCGUCAUUUCUCCCUCAAACCCUCGGGUUUGGUGUUGAGCGAUACGCUGGGUUUGCUUGAAAGAAAGGCGGAGUAUAAACUAAUGGAUAGGUUUUUUCCACUCAUUGGUACAAACUCCAAAACUUCUUCCAAAUUCGACCUCAAAUCAGGUAGGACUACCCGCUGAACUUAAGCAUAUCAAUAAGCGGAGG
This 471-nucleotide ribosomal RNA is filed under the name Lodderomyces parapsilosis. RNAcentral's name for it is "eukaryotic LSU rRNA". The stretch from base 133 to 286 matches the Rfam family "5.8S ribosomal RNA". Lineage: Eukaryota; Fungi; Ascomycota; Pichiomycetes; Serinales; Debaryomycetaceae. The record is from RNAcentral.